CAACUUGCCAGCGCCCAAUACUGUCUUCAAGUGUGUCCAAUCGAUACCAAAUUAGGAGCAUGGAACCCCAAAGCUGUGAGGCAACUCUAGAGCUCUUGUGUGAUUUAUGGUGUCAACAAGGUAUAUUUACGAGAAUACCAAAUCCAUUUUUGUUAUUAUCCUCAUCACUAUCUCUUAAGACUUCCGUGUAACUGAGAUAAUUCUAGAAAUCUUGCACAAAUCCUGUAGCUGUGGUGGUAUGGGGAUUAGAGAAUUUUGUGCUGGGAGUAAUUACCAAUUUGAAUUCUCAUGGAGAGAUGGUGUGUG
This 306-nucleotide long non-coding RNA is filed under the name Solanum tuberosum (potato). RNAcentral's name for it is "long non-coding RNA (STUB_LNC005483)". The record is from RNAcentral. Lineage: Eukaryota; Viridiplantae; Streptophyta; Magnoliopsida; Solanales; Solanaceae.